GGGGUUGUGGCUCAAAGGUAGAGCGCUCGCCUAGCAUGGGUGAGGCCCUGGGUCCGAUCCCCAGCACCA
RNAcentral lists this transfer RNA (69 nucleotides) under Ictidomys tridecemlineatus (thirteen-lined ground squirrel). RNAcentral describes it as "Spermophilus tridecemlineatus (thirteen-lined ground squirrel) tRNA". It matches the Rfam family "tRNA". Rfam says of the family: Transfer RNA (tRNA) molecules are approximately 80 nucleotides in length. Their secondary structure includes four short double-helical elements and three loops (D, anti-codon, and T loops). Lineage: Eukaryota; Metazoa; Chordata; Mammalia; Rodentia; Sciuridae. The record is from Rfam by way of RNAcentral.